Long non-coding RNA from Lagopus muta (rock ptarmigan), 922 nucleotides. RefSeq lists it as uncharacterized. The transcript is spliced from 6 exons. Lineage: Eukaryota; Metazoa; Chordata; Aves; Galliformes; Phasianidae. The record is from RefSeq and is a predicted model, not a curated record.
GCUGUGCUCUUCCAUUUGAGUAGCUGUGUGCUGGGAAGCUGAUCUAUUUUACUGUACUACGUUGGCAGGUUAGGCACUAUCCUUCAUUUUGCUUUUGGAGGUGAUGCUGGUUCCCAUCCUCUGCUGAUGUGAGAGCUGUGGGGAUAGCCAGGGCUGAGAAGCCUUGAUGUGCUGCUAGCAGAUUUAUGCCUCGUUGAAACCCACCUCUUAUUGCCUCUGAGCUGAUUGGGGGAAAGGAGACUUGUUCGCUGGAAAAGAAACCCACUGCAAUGUGCCAUGCAUGCCAAGUCAGGGUGGGAGCUUGAAAGAAGAAUUUGGAAUCCUGACCUCUUUUCCUCAUCCGCUGCUUAUCUUCUGUCACUGAGUCAGCUGGGACAGGAAGCUUCAUACACUUUGGGUCAGAUGCUCUUUCCCUGAAGAGGAGGAGGAUAUUUAUAGCCGGGAGCUGGCAGAGCUAAUGACUCUGGAAGUGCCUUGGGACAGUAUACAGCCCGAGGAAGCGGCUCGGAGGCAUCUUGAAGACUUGGAUCUGGUUUCUGGCCUCGCAGAAUGAAAAUCCGGAGACUGUGCUCACAUUUCUAUGGCUGGGGGUGAUCUUCGUUCUGUGGCAGGAGCCUGGAGCCCCUGUAUUGAUCUGCUCUGGUUUAUGAAGCCACCGACUAUUGGAAAAAAGAGUUUAUAAAUAACUACAGGCUUCCAUAUCACAAACGUUCCAGCAGGGCUGCUUUUGUUUAUCGCACAACACACAUUUUUGGAACUUUUUCUUCGCUGGGAGAUUGCAAGGGAGCUUGGAGUGCCAGUGUGGCUGCUGCAUUGUACUGUAUUGUACUGCGCAAAUGGCGUUUCCCCCCUUGGGACGGAGAGGUUUCUAGGUUUGUUUUUGUAGAUAAGAUAUAAACUCUGCAGUGGUUCUGCUAAUAAA